CUGCAGUCGACGGUAACAGGGAGCUUGCUCCGCUGACGAGUGGCGAACGGGUGAGUAAUAUAUCGGAACGUACCCAGAAGUGGGGGAUAACGUAGCGAAAGUUACGCUAAUACCGCAUACGAUCCACGGAUGAAAGUAGGGGACCUUCGGGCCUUAUGCUUUUGGAACGGCCGAUAUCAGAUUAGCUAGUUGGUGAGGUAAAGGCUCACCAAGGCGACGAUCAGUAGCUGGUCUGAGAGGACGACCAGCCACACUGGAACUGAGACACGGUCCAGACUCCUACGGGAGGCAGCAGUGGGGAAUUUUGGACAAUGGGCGCAAGCCUGAUCCAGCAAUGCCGCGUGAGUGAAGAAGGCCUUCGGGUUGUAAAGCUCUUUUGUCAGGGAAGAAACGGGAGUGGCUAAUAUCCAUUCUUAAUGACGGUACCUGAAGAAUAAGCACCGGCUAACUACGUGCCAGCAGCCGCGGUAAUACGUAGGGUGCAAGCGUUAAUCGGAAUUACUGGGCGUAAAGCGUGCGCAGGCGGUUUUGUAAGUCUGACGUGAAAUCCCCGGGCUCAACCUGGGAAUUGCGUUGGAGACUGCAAGGCUAGAAUCUGGCAGAGGGGGGUAGAAUUCCACGUGUAGCAGUGAAAUGCGUAGAGAUGUGGAGGAACACCGAUGGCGAAGGCAGCCCCCUGGGUCAAGAUUGACGCUCAUGCACGAAAGCGUGGGGAGCAAACAGGAUUAGAUACCCUGGUAGUCCACGCCCUAAACGAUGUCUACUAGUUGUCGGGUUUUAAUUAACUUGGUAACGCAGCUAACGCGUGAAGUAGACCGCCUGGGGGAGUACGGUCGCAAGAUUAAAACUC
Molecule: ribosomal RNA, 850 nt
Filed under: uncultured bacterium
Lineage: Bacteria
Description: bacterial SSU rRNA
Rfam family: Bacterial small subunit ribosomal RNA
Source: RNAcentral